Long non-coding RNA from Orcinus orca (killer whale), 321 nucleotides. RefSeq lists it as uncharacterized. The transcript is spliced from 2 exons. NCBI's taxonomy places the organism in Eukaryota, Metazoa, Chordata, Mammalia, Artiodactyla, Delphinidae. The record is from RefSeq and is a predicted model, not a curated record.
GUGCCACGAAGACAGUGCACCAGGGAGCUGUAACACCAGUGAUGCUGUAACAAGUCCUGCAAGGGUGUAUUCUAAGAGCAGCAGAGGAGGGCAAGACCGAUUACCCUGGUGGUGGAGUGAGAGGUGCAAAGAGGAGAGUUGCAGCUGCUCGGAGGAGGGGACAGCGUGCAUUUCCCACAGAUUUAGAAAAUUCUGGAGCUGGAAGAAAGGUUUGCGAUAACAUAUAUAGUCCAGAGCUUUUUUUUUAAAUUUAAUUUUUUGUUUUUUAGAUUUUUUUUUUGAUGUGGACCAUUUUUAAAGUCUUUAUUGAACUUGUUACAA